AUCUAUGUCCAUACCACCUUGAAUGUACCUGAUCUUGUCUGAUAUUGGAAGCUAAGCAGGAUCCGGCCUGGUUAGUACUUGGAUGGGAGAUGUGAAUA
This 98-nucleotide ribosomal RNA is filed under the name Microcebus murinus (gray mouse lemur). Lineage: Eukaryota; Metazoa; Chordata; Mammalia; Primates; Cheirogaleidae. The record is from RNAcentral.